RNAcentral lists this ribosomal RNA (418 nucleotides) under Babesia microti. RNAcentral describes it as "SSU rRNA". It matches the Rfam family "Eukaryotic small subunit ribosomal RNA", at positions 596 to 1037 of the family's 1831-position model. The record is from RNAcentral. Lineage: Eukaryota; Apicomplexa; Aconoidasida; Piroplasmida; Babesiidae.
AGCGUAUAUUAAAGUUGUUGCAGUUAAGAAGCUCGUAGUUGAAUUUCUGCCUUGUCAUUAAUCUCGCUUCCGAGCGUUUUUUUAUUGGCUUGGCAUCUUCUGGAUUUGGUGCCUUCGGGUACUAUUUUCCAGGAUUUACUUUGAGAAAACUAGAGUGUUUCAAACAGGCAUUCGCCUUGAAUACUACAGCAUGGAAUAAUGAAGUAGGACUUUGGUUCUAUUUUGUUGGUUAUUGAGCCAGAGUAAUGGUUAAUAGGAGCAGUUGGGGGCAUUCGUAUUUAACUGUCAGAGGUGAAAUUCUUAGAUUUGUUAAAGACGAACUACUGCGAAAGCAUUUGCCAAGGAUGUUUUCAUUAAUCAAGAACGAAAGUUAGGGGAUCGAAGACGAUCAGAUACCGUCGUAGUCCUAACCAUAAAC